Strigops habroptila (Kakapo) is the source of this 4016-nucleotide long non-coding RNA. RefSeq lists it as uncharacterized. The transcript has 2 exons. NCBI's taxonomy places the organism in Eukaryota, Metazoa, Chordata, Aves, Psittaciformes, Psittacidae. The record is from RefSeq and is a predicted model, not a curated record.
CUUACAACACUACUUAAAAUUGAAUGAUCUGUGGUUGAAAUCAGUUCAGGAGUCAAAUUAUUGUAGGUUAGUUUGGUAACUGCUAAAUUAUUCCCACCCUUGAGACAAAAAUGACAAAUGCACAUGAGGAAGGGCAGAAGCAAAAUGGCUUGUCUCACUCAUGAGGCUUCAGGCAAAAUGCAACAUGCAGACAGGUCAGCUGUGAACAUGACUGUUUCACUCUCUGGAUCUAAACCUAAGCCCUAAUCUGGGCUGUUAUCUUGCCCCAACAUCAUUUGAUCUCAAUAUUGACAAAAUGGGAAAUCUGCCAGACAGGCUUCUUCGUGCUGCAACAAUUGGGAUGAUAGAUUAAAAUGACAUGAAGUAAUAGAGCUGUUUAAUCAGUCCUGAGCUGAAGAACAAAAAGGGAUAAAGAAAUAGAUGUACAAGACUGAAACAAAAUCAUACAGGAAGGUGAUAGCGAAACUUCUACUUUUCCAUUGACUGAUUAGGAUUCAGCUGAUUUCUUGAUCUAGUGAGUUUCAUUUGUAGUAGAAAACUCUAGAUGGUAAAUUCUCAUAGCUGAAUCCUUCAUAAUCCCAUGUAUAUACACCUACAAGGAACCAAAUGCUUGUGACUUCUCUCAAAAUUCACUGAUGGUGUGAUUUUGUUCUUUUUUCAUACGAGUGAGUAGGAUGGCAUCUGAUUUACCUCAACACUUAGUAAGAACCCCUUUAGAAAAUUUAUACUCUCUUAGUUCACAUUUGCUUUUAGUAAUAUUUUUGUGAUGACCCAAUCUUAUUUUUGACCUGUUGAACCCCUGCUUUACAGGUCAGUAGGGAGUUCAUCAGAAUAAAAUCAGAAGCUUGAGUUACAUGACAACUGUCAUGUUGGGACUUUUAAACCUUUCUUUUUUGUUCAGCUGGGUAGGAAACAAAAUCUAAGUGUUGGUGAAGGUGCAGCUACUUGCUGUUUUGUGAAAGUUCUGAUUUCCUGCGCUAGACCAGAAUGGCAGCUCAACCUUUUCUGAGGUUCCAUGAAGGGAAACUCUAACCUACCUGGUGCUAAACUGGCAUCUCAAAACAUAAAAUGCAUUUGUCAGGCUAGACAUCCUUGUCUACAAAAAUAACCUUCCCCCCCCCCCCCCCCCCCCCCCCCAAGUGUUUGGUAAGCAUUUUGAACAUGAGGGUAGGUCUGUCUUACCUAAGCAGUAAUGCAUUCUGUGGGACAGUUUGAGGAGGGGUAUGAGAAAUCCUGAGGCUCAUAACAGGUAGCCUGAAAACAGGUCUGUAGAUUUAUUUCCAUAGAAGUAUUGCUGCCUAAUAAUAUUUUCAAGGAGGAACUGGAUUAGGAACAUUUUAUUUUGUCGCUUCCUGUUAGAUACUUUCCAGGUCAAGUCUUGUGUUGCUGUUUCCACCUAUUCUUAGUAUUUUUGUUUCCAGAAAUUCAUAGUUAGGCUGGCAAAAGAAAGUGUUACCAAAAAGGAAAUUCUUGAGGUAAAAUUGAGUUUGAAUUCUAUAUUUUAUGUGAUGUUAUGUAAAUGAAACUGAUCUUCUGUGUCUAACGUAACUUUCAACUAAUGCAGCCUAUUUCAUGGCUGUUUGGUUAGGUAUAUCUACAUUGCAAAACCUUUGCAAAUUCUUUUAAGCUCCAGAUCACCACACAAGUAAAAUACAGAAUAUUGUGUAAUAUACUAAUUUCAGCACUGCUAUUUUUAGUUUAUUAAAGGGUUGGAAGUUUCAGUAGAAUCUUUCUCUUUGUUCUCAAGAGAGCAUAGUGAGCCAGAACUUUGGUGCGCAUGGUCAGAGUAACAUUUGACAGGCACAAAAACUGCUGCAGUUGCAUCUUGGUUAGAGCUUCAUCUAACUGUAGAAUGUAUGAGGUGAUGCCAGUCUUUCUUUAAUGUCACUUGGAGGGUUUUGGUUUGCUUUUUCUUUGCCUCAGGGUCCAUUGUAAAACCUCCCAGCACACUGGCAAGAAGCAGUAGCUUGUGUCGGUCAAGACGCAAUGUUUGUGCCAUCAUCUCCACAGUCUCAGCAUGCUUUGCACUCCCCUGACCCUGACAUCCUUUCUGUGUCAAGCUGCCCAGCAAUUUAUCGAACUGAAGAUGAGGAGGAAGCCAUUUACUUCUCUGCUGAUAAACAAUGGUACGGAGAUUAGCAAACAGCACUUGGAAAUCUGAUAGGAUUAUUUGAGAGUAACAGUUUAGAAUUAGGGUUGAACCAAGCAAAAAGUUAAAGUAAUCUGUAGGAUAAUAUAAAUUAAUAUAGUCCACAUGGAACAGAGAGUUCUUGUCUGAUGUGUGUGUGUAAAUAGCUAGCAUGUCAUAUACAGUUAAGUAAUGUUACAAUCCAGGGUGCACUGAACUAACCCUGAUUCUCCAUUACAAUAUGUUACUGGCUUUUACAUCUGAAACUAGGAUCAAAAGCAAUGUCAGCUACUGGGCGAAGAGAAGAUGGAUGGUAACACAGUUCUUACAGCAUGUUGAGCGUGUACCUACUCUUGUUACAUGGCCUCAUAGGAAAAGGUUAAAUUCCUUUUGGAAGGAGCAAAUGAGCUUGUUGAAAGGGAAGUACAGGAAACAGGUUCGGAAUGUGACUCCUUAAAUUCAUCCACUGGAAGGAAGCAGUCUCCUCCAGCAAGUCUUGAGGUGUACCAGAUGCUUUCUGCUCAGAAAGUAUCUCCAGAAGAAUGCUCCCUGGAGGAAUCAUCUACAGGAGACUCCUCUUCUCUAACUGCAGAUAUUUCUAGGGGCUCUCCUGACUGUGUAGGCAUGGCAGAAACUAAGAGCAUGAUCUUUAGUCCUGCAAGCAAAGUUUAUAAUGGAAUCCUGGAGAAGUCCUGCAGCAUGAACCAGCUUUCAAUUGGGAUCCCGGUCCCAAAGCCUCGGCACACCUCCUGUUCUUCAGCCAGCAGUGAUACUAAACCCAGCCAUGAAGCUGUUUCUGUCCCCAGGAUAAGUAGCAUCCCACAGGACCUGUACCAAAAUGGUGAAAAAAACAAAAAGCCAUCAAAAAUAAAAAGCCUCUUUAAGAAGAAGUGUAAGUGAGGUGGGCAGAAGAAGCCUGUAGUAGUGUUAUAAGAACUCUGUUUUUUAAAUCUUUAGGAAUGUAAUUCCAUUUGAGCAUUCCAGACUGGAUGCCCUAAUGGAAUGCUCUGUAGGUCAACUAUAUUUAACUCACUGUACUGUCAAAGGUUGUGCCAGCUGUCAAUGAGAAAUCAUUAAAAAGUUCAGACAGUUUACAUUCAUUUCUGCCUAUUUAUUUAUUUUUUUUUUUUUUUGGUUUGUCUUAGUGUUUGUUAGGGGUUUUUUUAGUGGUUUAUUUUUUCGUUUGUUUGGUUUUUUGUUUUUGGUUUUGGUUUUUUUUUUUUGUAGUUUAUUUGUAAACCAUUUUUAAGCCACUUGGACUUCUAAGCUUUAAUGGACUAGUAAGCCUUCUUGGGCUUCCCAAAGUUUCUUGUUUACUGGAGCAUCUUCCUAACUUUCUGUAGAGCUAGGACAUUUAUCUACUGGACUUUUAGAAAAAAUAAAAGAAGUAGAACUAAUUGAAUUGCACUACUGUUUUACAGACUGGAAAAGUCUCUCUGCAAGUGAAACUGAAAGACUUGUAUUUGUCUGAGAAGAUGAAUCUUUUCACUUUUAGAUCUUUUGGGGUUUUUAAGUAGAACUUAGGAUUUCUAAUUGACUUGACUUCUGGAAAUGGAAAUACCAUGCUUUUGUUAUGGGAAGCUUUGUUAGAUGCCUUUAUUGUUAGAAUGGUUCAAGUCCUGCUGUAAAGAUCAUGUUUUUCCCAGGACUUUCACUGUGAUUUUGCUUCACUGCAGGCUGUAUGACAAAAAAAAAAGGUAAUUUAACAAGAGAAGAGGCUCUUGAUUCCUUAUGCAAGCAAUGGAUAUGAAUCUUGACUGAGGACUGAAAAUAUUCACCUUCUUCAAAUGAGGAGGGGAUAGUAGCUUUUGUUUACAGACUGCUAGACAAUGGACAUUUGGCUUGUGAAAGUUUGUAUUGUGGCAAAGAUAAUAAAUUGGAAACAUUA